Molecule: ribosomal RNA, 253 nt
Filed under: uncultured bacterium
Lineage: Bacteria
Description: partial 16S ribosomal RNA
Rfam family: Bacterial small subunit ribosomal RNA
Source: RNAcentral
UACGUAGGGACCAAGCGUUGUUCGGAUUUACUGGGCGUAAAGGGCGCGUAGGCGGCGCGGUAAGUCACUUGUGAAAUCUCUGAGCUUAACUCAGAACGGCCAAGUGAUACUGCAGUGCUAGAGUGUGGAAGGGGCAAUCGGAAUUCUUGGUGUAGCGGUGAAAUGCGCAGAUAUCAGGAGGAACACCAAUGGCGAAGGCAGCUCGCUGGGACGGUACUGACGCUGAGACGCGAAAGCGUGGGGAGCAAACAGG